UCCUGUCUGAAUAUGGGGGGACCAUCCUCCAAGGCUAAAUACUCCUGACUGACCGAUAGUGAACCAGUACCGUGAGGGAAAGGCGAAAAGAACCCCGGCGAGGGGAGUGAAAAAGAACCUGAAACCGUGUACGUACAAGCAGUGGGAGCACAGGUUUACCUGUGUGACUGCGUACCUUUUGUAUAAUGGGUCAGCGACUUAUAUUCUGUAGCAAGGUUAACCGAAUAGGGGAGCCGGAGGGAAACCGAGUCUUAAYYGGGCGUUAAGUUGCAGGGUAUAGACCCGAAACCCGGUGAUCUAGCCAUGGGCAGGUUGAAGGUUGGGUAACACUAACUGGAGGACCGAACCGACUAAUGUUGAAAAAUUAGCGGAUGACCUGUGGCUGGGGGUGAAAGGCCAAUCAAACCGGGAGAUAGCUGGUUCUCCCCGAAAGCUAUUUAGGUAGCGCCUCGUGAAUUCAUCUCCGGGGGUAGAGCACUGUUUCGGCUAGGGGGCCAUCCCGGCUUACCAACCCGAUGCAAACUGCGAAUACCGGAGAAUGUUAUCACGGGAGACACACGGCGGGUGCUAACGUCCGUCGUGAAGAGGGAAACAACCCAGACCGCCAGCUAAGGUCCCAAAGUCAUGGUUAAGUGGGAAACGAUGUGGGAAGGCCCAGACAGCCAGGAUGUUGGCUUAGAAGCAGCCAUCAUUUAAAGAAAGCGUAAUAGCUCACUGGUCGAGUCGGCCUGCGCGGAAGAUGUAACGGGGCUAAACCAUGCACCGAAGCUGCGGCAGCGACACUCAKGUGUUGUUGGGUAGGGGAGCGUUCUGUAAGCCUGYGAAGGUGGCCUGUGAGGGUUGCUGGAGGUAUCAGAAGUGCGAAUGCUGACAUAAGUAACGAUAAAGCGGGUGAAAAGCCCGCUCGCCGGAAGACCAAGGGUUCCUGUCCAACGUUAAUCGGGGCAGGGUGAGUCGACCCCUAAGGCGAGGCCGAAAGGCGUAGUCGAUGGGAAACGGGUUAAUAUUCCCGUACUUGGUGUUACUGCGAAGGGGGGACGGAGAAGGCUAUGUUGGCCGGGCGACGGUUGUCCCGGUUUAAGCGUGUAGGUGUGUGUUCCAGGUAAAUCCGGUUCACUUUAACACUGAGGCGUGACGACGAGGCACUACGGUGCUGAAGCAACAAAUGCCCUGCUUCCAGGAAAAGCCUCUAAGCAUCAGGUAACAUCAAAUCGUACCCCAAACCGACACAGGUGGUCAGGUAGAGAAUACCAAGGCGCUUGAGAGAACUCGGGUGAAGGAACUAGGCAAAAUGGUGCCGUAACUUCGGGAGAAGGCACGCUGACACGUAGGUGAAGUGAUUUACUCAUGGAGCUGAAGUCAGUCGAAGAUACCAGCUGGCUGCAACUGUUUAUUAAAAACACAGCACUGUGCAAACACGAAAGUGGACGUAUACGGUGUGACGCCUGCCCGGUGCCGGAAGGUUAAUUGAUGGGGUCAGCGCAAGCGAAGCUCCUGAUCGAAGCCCCGGUAAACGGCGGCCGUAACUAUAACGGUCCUAAGGUAGCGAAAUUCCUUGUCGGGUAAGUUCCGACCUGCACGAAUGGCGUAAUGAUGGCCAGGCUGUCUCCACCCGAGACUCAGUGAAAUUGAACUCGCUGUGAAGAUGCAGUGUACCCGCGGCAAGACGGAAAGACCCCGUGAACCUUUACUAUAGCUUGACACUGAACAUUGAGCCUUGAUGUGUAGGAUAGGUGGGAGGCUUUGAAGUGUGGACGCCAGUCUGCAUGGAGCCGGCCUUGAAAUACCACCCUUUAAUGUUUGAUGUUCUAACGUGGACCCGUGAUCCGGGUUGCGGACAGUGUCUGGUGGGUAGUUUGACUGGGGCGGUCUCCUCCUAAAGAGUAACGGAGGAGCACGAAGGUUGGCUAAUCCUGGUCGGACAUCAGGAGGUUAGUGCAAUGGCAUAAGCCAGCUUGACUGCGAGCGUGACGGCGCGAGCAGGUGCGAAAGCAGGUCAUAGUGAUCCGGUGGUUCUGAAUGGAAGGGCCAUCGCUCAACGGAUAAAAGGUACUCCGGGGAUAACAGGCUGAUACCGCCCAAGAGUUCAUAUCGACGGCGGUGUUUGGCACCUCGAUGUCGGCUCAUCACAUCCUGGGGCUGAAGUAGGUCCCAAGGGUAUGGCUGUUCGCCAUUUAAAGUGGUACGCGAGCUGGGUUUAGAACGUCGUGAGACAGUUCGGUCCCUAUCUGCCGUGGGCGCUGGAGAACUGAGGGGGGCUGCUCCUAGUACGAGAGGACCGGAGUGGACGCAUCACUGGUGUUCGGGUUGUCAUGCCAAUGGCACUGCCCGGUAGCUAAAUGCGGAAGAGAUAAGUGCUGAAAGCAUCUAAGCACGAAACUUGCCCCGAGAUGAGUUCUCCCUGAGACUUAGAGUCUCCUGAAGGAACGUUGAAGACGACGACGUUGAUAGGCCGGGUGUGUAAGCGCAGCGAUGCGUUGAGCUAACCGGUACUAAUGAACCGUGAGGCUUAACCUU
RNAcentral lists this ribosomal RNA (2517 nucleotides) under Salmonella enterica. Its description in RNAcentral is "partial 23S ribosomal RNA". The record is from RNAcentral. Lineage: Bacteria; Pseudomonadati; Pseudomonadota; Gammaproteobacteria; Enterobacterales; Enterobacteriaceae.